RNAcentral lists this ribosomal RNA (253 nucleotides) under uncultured prokaryote. Its description in RNAcentral is "partial 16S ribosomal RNA". It matches the Rfam family "Bacterial small subunit ribosomal RNA", at positions 523 to 775 of the family's 1533-position model. The record is from RNAcentral.
AUACGGAGGGUGCAAGCGUUAUCCGGAUUCACUGGGUUUAAAGGGUGCGUAGGUGGGUCUGUAAGUCAGUGGUGAGAUCUCCGAGCUUAACUUGGAAACUGCCAUUGAUACUAUAGAUCUUGAAUACUGAGGAGGUCAGCGGAAUAUGUCAUGUAGCGGUGAAAUGCUUAGAUAUGACAUAGAACACUAAUUGCGAAGGCAGCUGGCUACACAAAUAUUGACACUGAGGCACGAAAGCGUGGGGAUCAAACAG